GCGGCUGUAGCUCAGUGGAUAGAGUAUCGGCCUCCGAAGCCGAGGGUCGUGGGUUCGAUCCCCGCCAGCCGCG
Molecule: non-coding RNA, 73 nt
Organism: Ottowia sp. oral taxon 894
Lineage: Bacteria; Pseudomonadati; Pseudomonadota; Betaproteobacteria; Burkholderiales; Comamonadaceae
Source: Rfam